Oryza rufipogon (brownbeard rice) is the source of this 204-nucleotide microRNA precursor. It matches the Rfam family "MIR812 microRNA precursor family". Lineage: Eukaryota; Viridiplantae; Streptophyta; Magnoliopsida; Poales; Poaceae. The record is from Rfam.
UUUAAGUGCAACCAUAAGUUUUCGUGUCCAAUUUUAAUUGUCCGUAUUAUUUGAAAUUUUUUAUAAUUAGUAUUUUAUUGUUAUGAGAUGAUAAAACAUGAAUAAUACUUUAUGCAUGACUUAUGUUUUUAAAUUUUUUCAAAGAAAAUCUUAAAUAAGAUAGAUAAUCAAAGUUGGAUACGGAAAAUCAUGGUUGUGGUUAAA